This 460-nucleotide ribosomal RNA is filed under the name uncultured bacterium. RNAcentral's name for it is "partial 16S ribosomal RNA". It matches the Rfam family "Bacterial small subunit ribosomal RNA", at positions 338 to 795 of the family's 1533-position model. The record is from RNAcentral.
CCUACGGGUGGCAGCAGUGAGGAAUAUUGGUCAAUGGACGAGAGUCUGAACCAGCCAAGUAGCGUGAAGGAUGACUGCCCUAUGGGUUGUAAACUUCUUUUAUAUGGGAAUAAAACAGGGUAUGCAUACCCUCUUGUAUGUACCAUAUGAAUAAGGAUCGGCUAACUCCGUGCCAGCAGCCGCGGUAAUACGGAGGAUUCGAGCGUUAUCCGGAUUUAUUGGGUUUAAAGGGUGCGUAGGCUGUCGGAUAAGUUAGAGGUCAAAUGUCGGGGAUUAACCCCGUGCCUGCCUCUGAUACUGUUCGACUAGAGAGCGGAUGCAGCAGGCGGAAUGAGUAGUGUAGCAGUGAAAUGCUUAGAUAUUACUCAGAACACCGAUUGCGCAGGCAGCUUGCUAAUCCGCAUCUGACGCUGAUGCACGAAAGCGUGGGUAGCGAACAGGAUUAGAUACCCGGGUAGUC